This 1369-nucleotide ribosomal RNA is filed under the name uncultured bacterium. Its description in RNAcentral is "bacterial SSU rRNA". It matches the Rfam family "Bacterial small subunit ribosomal RNA", at positions 28 to 1381 of the family's 1533-position model. The record is from RNAcentral.
GACGAACGCUGGCGGCGUGCCUAAUACAUGCAAGUAGAACGCUGAAGAGAGGAGCUUGCUCUUCUUGGAUGAGUUGCGAACGGGUGAGUAACGCGUAGGUAACCUGCCUUGUAGCGGGGGAUAACUAUUGGAAACGAUAGCUAAUACCGCAUAACAAUGGAUGACCCAUGUCAUUUAUUUGAAAGGGGCAAAUGCUCCACUACAAGAUGGACCUGCGUUGUAUUAGCUAGUAGGUGAGGUAACGGCUCACCUAGGCGACGAUACAUAGCCGACCUGAGAGGGUGAUCGGCCACACUGGGACUGAGACACGGCCCAGACUCCUACGGGAGGCAGCAGUAGGGAAUCUUCGGCAAUGGGGGCAACCCUGACCGAGCAACGCCGCGUGAGUGAAGAAGGUUUUCGGAUCGUAAAGCUCUGUUGUAAGUCAAGAACGAGUGUGAGAGUGGAAAGUUCACACUGUGACGGUAGCUUACCAGAAAGGGACGGCUAACUACGUGCCAGCAGCCGCGGUAAUACGUAGGUCCCGAGCGUUGUCCGGAUUUAUUGGGCGUAAAGCGAGCGCAGGCGGUUUGAUAAGUCUGAAGUUAAAGGCUGUGGCUCAACCAUAGUUCGCUUUGGAAACUGUCAAACUUGAGUGCAGAAGGGGAGAGUGGAAUUCCAUGUGUAGCGGUGAAAUGCGUAGAUAUGUGGAGGAACACCGGUGGCGAAAGCGGCUCUCUGGUCUGUAACUGACGCUGAGGCUCGAAAGCGUGGGGAGCGAACAGGAUUAGAUACCCUGGUAGUCCACGCCGUAAACGAUGAGUGCUAGGUGUUGGAUCCUUUCCGGGAUUCAGUGCCGCAGCUAACGCAUUAAGCACUCCGCCUGGGGAGUACGACCGCAAGGUUGAAACUCAAAGGAAUUGACGGGGGCCCGCACAAGCGGUGGAGCAUGUGGUUUAAUUCGAAGCAACGCGAAGAACCUUACCAGGUCUUGACAUCCCGAUGCUAUUUCUAGAGAUAGAAGGUUACUUCGGUACAUCGGUGACAGGUGGUGCAUGGUUGUCGUCAGCUCGUGUCGUGAGAUGUUGGGUUAAGUCCCGCAACGAGCGCAACCCCUAUUGUUAGUUGCCAUCAUUCAGUUGGGCACUCUAGCGAGACUGCCGGUAAUAAACCGGAGGAAGGUGGGGAUGACGUCAAAUCAUCAUGCCCCUUAUGACCUGGGCUACACACGUGCUACAAUGGUUGGUACAACGAGUUGCGAGUCGGUGACGGCAAGCUAAUCUCUUAAAGCCAAUCUCAGUUCGGAUUGUAGGCUGCAACUCGCCUACAUGAAGUCGGAAUCGCUAGUAAUCGCGGAUCAGCACGCCGCGGUGAAUACGUUCCCGGGCCU